GACAGAGGAUGCAAGCGUUAUCCGGAAUGAUUGGGCGUAAAGCGUCUGUAGGUGGCUUUUUAAGUCCGCCGUCAAAUCCCAGGGCUCAACCCUGGACAGGCGGUGGAAACUACCAAGCUGGAGUACGGUAGGGGCAGAGGGAAUUUCCGGUGGAGCGGUGAAAUGCGUAGAGAUUGGAAAGAACACCGAUGGCGAAGGCACUUUACUGGGCUAUUACUAACACUCAGAGACG
This 232-nucleotide ribosomal RNA is filed under the name uncultured bacterium. RNAcentral's name for it is "partial 16S ribosomal RNA". It matches the Rfam family "Bacterial small subunit ribosomal RNA", at positions 524 to 755 of the family's 1533-position model. The record is from RNAcentral.